GAUCCUGGCUCAGAAUCAACGCUGGCGGCGUGCCUAACACAUGCAAGUCGAACGAGAAAGUGGAGCAAUCCAUGAGUAAAGUGGCGCACGGGUGAGUAACACGUGACUAACCUACCUUUUAGUGGGGGAUAACCUAGGGAAACCUGGGCUAAUACCGCAUAAUACCUACGGGUCAAAGCAGCAAUGCGCUGAAAGAGGGGGUCGCGGCCGAUUAGCUAGUUGGCGGGGUAAUGGCCCACCAAGGCAGUGAUCGGUAUCCGGCCUGAGAGGGCGCACGGACACACUGGAACUGAAACACGGUCCAGACUCCUACGGGAGGCAGCAGUGGGGAAUUUUGCGCAAUGGGGGAAACCCUGACGCAGCAACGCCGCGUGGAGGAUGAAGUCCCUUGGGACGUAAACUCCUUUCGAUCGGGACGAUAAUGACGGUACCGGAAGAAGAAGCCCCGGCUAACUUCGUGCCAGCAGCCGCGGUAAUACGAGGGGGGCAAGCGUUGUUCGGAAUUAUUGGGCGUAAAGGGUGCGUAGGUGGUUCGGCAAGUCUUGUGUGAAAUCUUCAGGCUCAACUUGAAGUCUGCACAAGAAACUGCCGGGCUUGAGUAUGGGAGAGGUGAGUGGAAUUUCCGGUGUAGCGGUGAAAUGCGUAGAUAUCGGAAGGAACACCUGUGGCGAAAGCGGCUCACUGGACCAU
RNAcentral lists this ribosomal RNA (690 nucleotides) under uncultured Acidobacteriota bacterium. RNAcentral's name for it is "bacterial SSU rRNA". It matches the Rfam family "Bacterial small subunit ribosomal RNA", at positions 15 to 737 of the family's 1533-position model. Lineage: Bacteria; Pseudomonadati; Acidobacteriota. The record is from RNAcentral.